RNAcentral lists this ribosomal RNA (278 nucleotides) under uncultured bacterium. Its description in RNAcentral is "partial 16S ribosomal RNA". It matches the Rfam family "Bacterial small subunit ribosomal RNA", at positions 506 to 784 of the family's 1533-position model. The record is from RNAcentral.
UGCCAGCCGCCGCGGUAAUACGAAGGGACCUAGCGUAGUUCGGAAUUACUGGGCUUAAAGAGUUCGUAGGUGGUUGAAAUAGUUGGUGGUGAAAUCCCAGAGCUUAACUCUGGAACUGCCAUCAAAACUUUUCAGCUAGAGUAUGAUAGAGGAAAGCAGAAUUUUUAAUGUAGGGGUAAGAUCUGAUAAAAUUAAAAAGAAAACCAAAGGCGAAGGCAUUUAGCUGGAAUAAACUGACGCUAAGGUACGAAAGAAUGGGGAGCGAACAGGAUUAGAUA